CCUACGGGAGGCAGCAGUGAGGAAUAUUGGUCAAUGGGCGGAAGCCUGCACCAGCCAAGUAGCGUGCAGGAUGACGGCCCUACGGGUCGUAAACCGCUUUUGCACGGGGAUAACACCCUCCACUUGUGGAGGUCUGCAGGUACCGUGCGAAUAAGGGCCGGCUAAUUCCGUUCCAGAAGCCGCGGUAAUACGGAAGGCCCGAGGGUUAUCAGGAUUCAUUGUGGUUAAAGGGAGCGUAGGCGGGCGUUCCAGUUAGCUGUAAAAUCGCGCGGCUCAACCGCGCCCCGCAGUUGAAACUGGACGCCUUGAGUUCACAACAGGCAGGCGGAAUUCGUGGUGUAGCGGUGAAAUGCAUAGAUAUCACGAGGAACCCCGAUUGCGAAGGCAGCCGGCCGGGGUGCGACUGACGCUGAGGCUCGAAGGUGCGGGUAUCAAACAGGAUUAGAUACCCUUGUAGUC
This 459-nucleotide ribosomal RNA is filed under the name uncultured bacterium. Its description in RNAcentral is "partial 16S ribosomal RNA". It matches the Rfam family "Bacterial small subunit ribosomal RNA", at positions 338 to 795 of the family's 1533-position model. The record is from RNAcentral.